Molecule: ribosomal RNA, 95 nt
Filed under: Escherichia coli
Lineage: Bacteria; Pseudomonadati; Pseudomonadota; Gammaproteobacteria; Enterobacterales; Enterobacteriaceae
Description: partial 23S ribosomal RNA
Rfam family: Bacterial large subunit ribosomal RNA (bases 1-77)
Source: RNAcentral
GACGUUGAUAGGCUGGGUGUGUAAGCGCAGCGAUGCGUUGAGCUAACCGGUACUAAUGAACCGUGAGGCUUAACCUUACAACGCCGAAGGUGUUU